UACGGGGGGGGCAAGCGUUGUUCGGAAUUACUGGGCGUAAAGGGCUGGUAGGCGGCCAACUAAGUCGGAUGUGAAAUCCCCAGGCUUAACCUGGGAACUGCAUCCGAUACUGGUCGGCUUGAAUCCGGGAGAGGGAUGCAGAAUUCCAGGUGUAGCGGUGAAAUGCGUAGAUAUCUGGAAGAACACCAGUGGCGAAGGCGACUUACUGGACACAUAUUGACGCUGAGGUGCGAAAGCGUGGGGAGCAAACAGG
This 253-nucleotide ribosomal RNA is filed under the name uncultured bacterium. RNAcentral's name for it is "partial 16S ribosomal RNA". It matches the Rfam family "Bacterial small subunit ribosomal RNA", at positions 524 to 776 of the family's 1533-position model. The record is from RNAcentral.